GAUGAACGCUGGCGGCGUGCCUAAUACAUGCAAGUCGAGCGAACAGACGAGGAGCUUGCUCCUCUGACGUUAGCGGCGGACGGGUGAGUAACACGUGGAUAACCUACCUAUAAGACUGGGAUAACUUCGGGAAACCGGAGCUAAUACCGGAUAAGAUAUUGAACCGCAUGGUUCAAUAGUGAAAGACGGUUUUGCUGUCACUUAUAGAUGGAUCCGCGCCGCAUUAGCUAGUUGGUAAGGUAACGGCUUACCAAGGCGACGAUGCGUAGCCGACCUGAGAGGGUGAUCGGCCACACUGGAACUGAGACACGGUCCAGACUCCUACGGGAGGCAGCAGUAGGGAAUCUUCCGCAAUGGGCGAAAGCCUGACGGAGCAACGCCGCGUGAGUGAUGAAGGUCUUCGGAUCGUAAAACUCUGUUAUUAGGGAAGAACAAAUGUGUAAGUAACUAUGCACGUCUUGACGGUACCUAAUCAGAAAGCCACGGCUAACUACGUG
RNAcentral lists this ribosomal RNA (497 nucleotides) under uncultured bacterium. RNAcentral's name for it is "partial 16S ribosomal RNA". It matches the Rfam family "Bacterial small subunit ribosomal RNA", at positions 28 to 507 of the family's 1533-position model. The record is from RNAcentral.